AGAGGAAUAACUGGGUCAAAUGGUGUUUGUAUUCCUAGUUUUUUGAGAAAUCUCCAUACUGUUUUCCACAGUGGUUGCACCAAUUUGCAGUCCCAGCAGCAAU
RNAcentral lists this microRNA precursor (103 nucleotides) under Marmota monax (woodchuck). Lineage: Eukaryota; Metazoa; Chordata; Mammalia; Rodentia; Sciuridae. The record is from RNAcentral.